ACCACCCCAGCCAGCAUGGCCGGCAGGAGCGCACCGCGCUGUCUCCCUCCAGGGAUCCGCACCGCCCUACAAUCCUGCUUUGUGCUGAGAUUGUAGUCCUGCAGGCGUACAACUAACAAGCUGGGUGCAGAUAAGAGACUACAGCUCCCCGCAUCCCAAGCAAAGGUCCCUCCUCUACGGAGCCCCUCCACGCGUCCACUGCGGUUCCGCCGUGCCAAGGGGAGCUUGGCUGUUCACGGGCCUCACCUGCUAGCGAGAAGAUAGCUUGGCCGGGCGGCUGAUCUCACCUUGUAAUUCUGACACUGUGUCUCCCGGGCUUGUCGGCUUCAUGACUUGUGCCCAAAGUUUGAUUUCUCGCAGACCAGGAGGACCCAUUGGACCCCCGGGCUGGCUGCAGGGCCCACACCUGGGUUAGACCUCGCACAGGGACGCUGCUGCCACUGUAAUAAAGCGUGCCUACACGCUUCUGAAACUGGUGUAGGAACAACCUCAGUUCUGUGAAAGGCGGACGCAGCAGGACAGAAUCUCCGUGGACAUCUGUCUGGAGGAGCAAUUUUACUGCGACAUUUUAAAGAAACAAAUUUAAUUGAUUUCCAAGGGUGUCCAUCGCGCUUCCUUCACUGCCUUGAUCAUGUCGGGGUCACCACCUGCGGGGGUUUGUCCUGCAGACCCUGACUCAACGACGGAUGAAUAAUGUACACUGACACAGAUCUUAUGCUUGUCAGUCCUGCUGAGCAUCCAGGCCACUUACAGACUCCAAGAAGAGUCCUGUCAGCCACGGCUCUGACUUGUUGGCCCUCCCGGCAUUUAUUUAGCACACAUUUAAUGACAGAAGUCUCAGGUAUUCAAAUGGGAGAGACUCUUGACUGACACCAGGCAUUCUAAUGAGAGAGACUCCAGGAAGAUCCAGGCAGUCUAAUGAUAAAUAUACCUGGGCGAACCCAGCCAUUCUAAUUGGAGAGACUUCUGGCUACCUCAGUCAUUCUAAGGCUGGAAACACUCUUUUUGUAGAACAUACAAAUGGACAUUUCUAAGCACAUUGAGGCCUAUAAUGAAAAAUCAAAUAUCCCACAAUGAAAACUAGAAGGAAGCUAUCUGUGAUAAUGCUUUGUGGUGUAUGGAUUCAUCUCACUGACUGAAACCUGAGUUUUGAUUCACCAGGUUGGAAACACUCUUUUUGUAGAAUGUAUGAAGAGAUAUUUCUGAGGCCUGUUGUGAAAAACUGAGGUUUCCACAAGAAAAACUGGAAACAAGUUAUCUGAGAAAAUGCUUUAUGAUGGGUGAAUUCAUCUCACAAAAUUAAACCUUCGUUUUGAUUCAAAA
Molecule: long non-coding RNA, 1323 nt
Organism: Homo sapiens (human)
Lineage: Eukaryota; Metazoa; Chordata; Mammalia; Primates; Hominidae
Product: long intergenic non-protein coding RNA 662
Source: Ensembl